RNAcentral lists this microRNA precursor (60 nucleotides) under Cordylochernes scorpioides. The record is from RNAcentral. Lineage: Eukaryota; Metazoa; Arthropoda; Arachnida; Pseudoscorpiones; Chernetidae.
UAGCCCGAUUUGCUGUUUCUCUGAAUGUGUUUGAAUUUAGAGAAACAGUGACUGGGGUUA